Molecule: small nuclear RNA, 100 nt
Filed under: Rhinolophus ferrumequinum (greater horseshoe bat)
Lineage: Eukaryota; Metazoa; Chordata; Mammalia; Chiroptera; Rhinolophidae
Source: RNAcentral
GUGCUUGCUUAGGCAGCACAUAUACUAAAAUUGGAACAAUACAGAGAAGAUUCGCAUGGCCCCUGCGCAAGGAUGACAGGCUUAGAAAGCACAAAUUAAU